CGAAAGCCUGACGGAGCAAUACCGCGUGAGGGAGGAAGGUUCUUGGAUUGUAAACCUCUUUUCUUAGGGAAGAAGUACUGACGGUACCUAAUGUAAGCAUCGGCUAACUCCGUGCCAGCAGCCGCGGUAAUACGGAGGAUGCAAGCGUUAUCCGGAAUCAUUGGGCGUAAAGCGUCCGCAGGUGGCUCAUCAAGUCUGCUGUUAAAGACAGAAGCUCAACCUCUGAUAGGCAGUGGAAACUGGUGAGCUGGAGUACGGUAGGGGUUGAGGGAAUUCCCAGUGUAGCGGUGAAAUGCGUAGAUAUUGGGAAGAACACCAGUGGCGAAGGCGCUCAACUGGGCCGUAACUGACACUCAGGGACGAAAGCUAGGGUAGCG
RNAcentral lists this ribosomal RNA (377 nucleotides) under uncultured cyanobacterium. Its description in RNAcentral is "bacterial SSU rRNA". It matches the Rfam family "Bacterial small subunit ribosomal RNA", at positions 376 to 770 of the family's 1533-position model. Lineage: Bacteria; Bacillati; Cyanobacteriota. The record is from RNAcentral.